This is a long non-coding RNA of Prunus dulcis (almond), 363 nucleotides long. RefSeq lists it as uncharacterized. The record is from RefSeq and is a predicted model, not a curated record. The transcript is spliced from 2 exons. NCBI's taxonomy places the organism in Eukaryota, Viridiplantae, Streptophyta, Magnoliopsida, Rosales, Rosaceae.
CUCUCUCUCUCUCUCUCUCUCUCUCCCCUUUACAAUGAGCAGCGUCAUCAGCUGGUGCGGCAAGGGACGGAUGGUUUUGACAAUUUUUCGGGACACUGCUUUGACUUUAGCUUCUGCCUUGUAUGUGAAGGAGACAAUAAUGGAAAAGUUUGGCAACAAUGGAGGUUCUGGCUCGUCUGAUAGCAAGCGGGUUUUUGGAAAACGAACAGAGGCUAGCAGUAGUUAGAUGGCUAAAGAGUUGGUAUAUGCACUAAAGUGCAAAUUAUUAUCAGUAGUGCAGACUUUAACUUGAAUCAGAUGUAAUUUCUUUGCUUUUUAGAUUCCCAGCCAAGUUGAGCAGUAAACAGUUUUUUUUAUUUUUUA